Long non-coding RNA from Thamnophis elegans (Western terrestrial garter snake), 2417 nucleotides. RefSeq lists it as uncharacterized. NCBI's taxonomy places the organism in Eukaryota, Metazoa, Chordata, Lepidosauria, Squamata, Natricidae. The transcript is spliced from 4 exons. The record is from RefSeq and is a predicted model, not a curated record.
GGUCAUAACAUGGUGCAAAACUCACUUAACAAAUGUUUCACUUAGCAACAUAAUUGUAGUCGAAACUCAUGGGCUACUGGUAUCUGGCAAUCUCUCCCUAAUUUCUCUCAUCACAUUCUUGUUUUAUCGCUUCUCUCAUUAUCCUCCAUGCCAUAAUCUCAGUUUGCCUGCCUCUCUACUGUCAAUUAUAAAUAAAUCAAUUUUCCCAGAACCUCUUGGAGUCACUUGCACCAACAUUAAUUUAAAUAAAAACAUUCAUUCAUAUAAAAUGUCCAAUGUCUCCAGUUAGCAGGCAACCUGCUGGCAUGCCUAAUAGUUCAAUCAAUCUGCAAAGUAAGAAACAUUGUUAUGUGAGGGAUUUGUAAUCAAUGAGCUAGUUCAUAAUAAUUCAGUUACAACUUAUAUAAGUUUCAAAUUUAAAAUAAAUACAGUCUGGUGGUAAAUUGUAUCUAGAAAGUGAUGCAAGAUGCAGCAAAUACUAGAAUGCAAAAAUGAAUGCUUGUUUAUGUAUUUACAUGAAGAAGGACAGCAAUACCUUUCUUUGGUGAGCAGCUGAGUGAAGUUUACAGAGUAAACUUGUGCAAAUGGCCCUGGGCAUAACUGAAAUGAAGUAAUGUGGUCAGCUGUUUGCCAGACAAUUAAAAACAAAGAACCAGUUUUCAGGACAGGUAGAAGAAUCUUAUUGUAAAUGUCAUCUGAUUGUCAGCUUCUGCCCAUUCUUAUUUAUUUUUGUUUAUUAAAUUUACAGUAUUUGCGGCCCAUGUUGUUUCAAAGCAACUCUGGGAGUUUUUAAUUUUGCUUUUAAUUUUGAUGCAUAUCCCUUGCUUUCACGUGGCAAAGGUUUCUGAAUGUAUUUAACUUCUUUCUCCCUUCAUUAACAUUUUUGCAAUUCAGAUUUAUAGGAGAAAUGAAUAGCCAAUCCAGCAUGAAAUCUUUUAUGUGCCCGAGGAAGAAAAUCAUGAUAGACUCCUAGCAAUGAAAAAAAAAGAGAAAAUUCUAAUAAAUAGAAAAUGUGCCACUCUUCACAAAUUUAUCGCUUCCAUUAGUUAUAUCAACUUCUUUAAUCUUUUGUUUCCAAGACCAGCUGUCCUUCUUCUUAAAAAGUACCAAAGGAGAUCUAAAAAUCUUGUAAUGUUUGAGAUGCCCACUCUGAUCAGCUUCAACAAAUCAGGGCUGAGAGAGGUUACUGUCCUGAAGUGACCCAGCUGGCUUUGUGUCCAGGACUAGAACCCAAUUUCAGGCCUGAUGCUUAACCACUAUACUAAACUGGCUAUCAUGCAUCUAUCAGUCCCAACCUAAUGCCUCUUGAGCAUAAGAUAUGAAGAGAAGAUCCAGAAAGGAAGAGAAGACAAUGUCCUUACUCCACAGUAAAAGGAAGAAGAAGAAAAAAAGACCAGAGCAACAACUCACAUUCUUGCCCUCCAAAGUAGCAGGAAUUUAUUUGCAUUGUCUGGCUUACUCAAGUAUGGAACAUAUUCUUCUCUGGAUGGAGUCACUGGAACAAUCAUGGAGUAAACAAGGACAUGGAUUGAUUGACUGUUGCUGAGGUUAUUCAGUGAAAGAAAUGACUUCUAGGUGUCAGUGGGGAUAACAACAAGAUAGGUUUUUGAUGAAUCAUUCCUUUUGUCCCUUAGGCAGUGCAAAAAGUGUUUCUUGAUCUUUCAGGUAUUGAUCUAUAAAAUCUGCAUGUCAAUUCUUUGAAAUUAUCCACUGCAGAGGUCUGUCACAUCAAAGACUGCAGGCUACAGCAACUUGGCCCCAAUGCAAAAGCAUGGCCAAUAUUUAAGGACAGGCACUAAAGCAAUGCAAUUCCCCUCCUCCCCAGAAAACAUUUUCUCAAAAGCCAGGUUCUUGAGGAUUAUUAUUUUUCAAACAAUUAAGUACUCUACAAAACAUAUUAUUUCUGAAGACUAAAAUUUAAAAUGAUCAAAUUAUCAUUAUUUUUUUGGAUAUUUUUAAUUUAUUUGAUGUGCAAACCAUCUGAUCAUGAUUCAGCCCAAGGUGGCUUAUAAAGUGUACAGAAAAGAAACCAGGGAUUGAAAAACAAAAGAACAACUCACCACAUCAGGAAAAUACAGAAAGAGGUAAAAUAUUGGUUUCUAGUGCAUGUUCACAAAUAGCCCUGGCUUAGGGCUGCUUGAAGCACCAGGUUUAGCAAACGUUCCUGAAAGACAGCAAGGGAUGGUGUUGUCAACUUCAUUCUCCUUGACAGCUUCAGCUGUUUUACUAGCAGAACCAGUGUGUCCCAUAAGGUGACAUUAUUUUAUUGAUGAAACCUGGAGACAAUCAACCCCGCUAGAUUUCACAGGAUGGGCAGAAUUAAUUAGACAGAUACGUAUUAAAUAUUAAAUCACUCUUAAAUGUUAAAUAAUAUUAAAUAUCUUGGCCCUAAGCCAGGAAGGGCUUUAUGUAUAUUA